Molecule: non-coding RNA, 174 nt
Filed under: Fusibacter sp. 3D3
Lineage: Bacteria; Bacillati; Bacillota; Clostridia; Eubacteriales; Fusibacteraceae
Also listed under: 1 other name
Source: RNAcentral
CUUAAUACUUUUAUUUGCGGUCACCAAUUUGGUGUAAAAAAGGGAAUCAGGUGAAAAUCCUGAGCAGCACCCACUACUGUAAGCUGGACGAGAGUACGAUACCACUGUGAAAAUGGGAAGGUGUACUUAAGGAAGAUGGCAAGUCAGGAGACCUACCGUUAAUAAUACCAAUUC